UACGGAGGGUGCAAGCGUUAAUCGGAAUUACUGGGCGUAAAGCGCACGCAGGUGGCUGAGUCAGUCGAUUGUGAAAGCCCUGGGCUUAACCUGGGAAUUGCAGUCGAUACUACUCAGCUAGAGUAUGGGAGAGGGUAGUGGAAUUCCCGGUGUAGCGGUGAAAUGCGCAGAUAUCGGGAGGAACACCGGUGGCGAAGGCGGUUCUCUGGGCCUUACCUGACGCUGAGGAGCGAAAGCGUGGGGAGCGAACAGG
This 253-nucleotide ribosomal RNA is filed under the name uncultured bacterium. RNAcentral describes it as "partial 16S ribosomal RNA". It matches the Rfam family "Bacterial small subunit ribosomal RNA", at positions 524 to 776 of the family's 1533-position model. The record is from RNAcentral.